RNAcentral lists this transfer RNA (71 nucleotides) under Marmota monax (woodchuck). RNAcentral's name for it is "tRNA.Ala". The record is from RNAcentral. Lineage: Eukaryota; Metazoa; Chordata; Mammalia; Rodentia; Sciuridae.
UGGGGUUGUAGCUCAGUGGUAUAGCUCUUGCUUAGCACACAUGAGGCACUGGGUUGGAUACUCAGCAUUAA